AGGACUAUGUAAUUCCAAACCCCCUGCCGUGGGUUGGGUGUCCCCCACCAGAUCAGGCUGCCCAGGACCUCAUCCAACCUGUGCUUGGGCACCUCCAGGGAAUGAGGGCCUUGGCCUAGCCCAUGCUCGCACCCAAGAGGCAGUGAGGAGAGGAGCACCAACCACAGCCUCAUCACUCCCACACACCCAUGAGUUGCCUUCUUUCUGCUUAAUGAGGAGACCCUGUGAAGUGCUGUGAAGGGGGACAAUGCUCCUUGAGAAGUGUCUGUCAUGAAGGAAGAGCAAUCAUUUUGAGAAGAGCAGUUGUUCUGGGCCUCUUCUACACUGCCUGAGUCAUCUGGGACACAGGCAGAUCCCUGCCCUAUGGAACAGGGAAGAAAAAUGGCACUGAGAUCUCAUGUAGUUGCUGCAGUUUGGAAUCUGAUGCCCUUCACUGAUCCUGUUCAUCAAAACACACUUUGAAUUAAAUUACAGUAAAUCCAGUGAAGCCUCUUUUCAUGCUAAUUGAGUAUGCAUGGACCACCACCCUGAUUCAGACUGAGUGUAAAGGCACUUAAUAGAUCACUUCAUACUCACAUUUUUAAGACACUAUCAAAAAAAAACUUGAAAACACAACACAAACAUAACUAAGUGUUCUCAGACAAAGAGAUCUCCCAAAGUUUAUCUAUGGAGGUGUUUGAGGAAAGGGUGGAUGUAGUACCUAGGGACAAGGCUUAAUGGGCAACAUUGGUGCUAGGUGAACAGUUGGACUGGAUGAUCUUAAAGGUCUUUUCCAAGCCUACUGAUUCCAUGAUUCUAUGAUUCAGAAUUUUCUGAGUUACUACAUUUAGCUACAGAAAUGCCAUCUAGAAAUGUCCUGCUCACUACAGACGCUGUAAGUGCUGAGUGUACAAUGCAGACACCAGAGCAGAGAUCCCAGCUAUGGGCCCUCCACGUGCCCUCCUGACUCAUCACAGUCUUCCUGCUAACCUGGGCAUGCGGCACUGCCUACAGCAGAGAUCAAAGCAGGGCCGGAGCUGGGCAAAUGGGCUGAGAGACAAAGAAGCCACAAAUGGAGCUGCACACUUACUAAUGAAAGCCAGGGCUUUGCAGGCAUCAGGGCAAAAUGACCACAUUGGGAUGGCAAAAAGCUGGUUCUUCCUGAUUUACAGAACUUGCUGUGGGAGAGGCAUGUGGGGAAGGGGAGUCUCUUGUUAGGGUGAGCCAGAUCCAGGAUGGUCCAGUGGCAGCCAGGAAAGAGGACAGGACCAUCUCAAGAGGCAGAAGCACGCACAAGUCUUACCGCAGCCUUGCAGUGCUGAGGCUCUCUGUUAACUGAGCUUUUGAGCAAUGUCUUGUCUCUGACCAUUCCAGAAGUGGCUUCCUACAACUGAAAAACCAAUGACUUAUUUUCUUUCAAUGUAUCUGAUAGAGUUAAAGGAAAACACCCUGGCAAAUGCUAUUGCAUCAUAGAACAGGCUUUGAUCAGCUGGAGCUGCCAAUGCUCCUCGAUGCGUGCUGUACAUCACUGACUUGGCUGGCUGCAUCUGUCUGCUUCCAUCAAGUGUUCCUGCAAGGGAACAACCACCUGCUGGGAAGGACAGCAUGGGGGAGAAAUGGAGUCACUGGAUAGCCCCUGAGUUUUCUCAGAGGGAGAACUCAAGAGCACUUUGUGUUUAGAAUACCAUCCAGCUAUGGUAAGCAAAGACCGGGUGAAAGUGCAUUUCUGAGCAAGAUUUCUGCAAGAACUGACCUUCCAGCAAUAAAAAACCUUCAACAGCUCCCAUGGGGCUUGGGUGCUCAUUCAAACUCAGCAAAGGAGGUUCAGGUCCAUGGAGUACAGGUGCUACUGGCCCUCUUGGACACUACUAUGGUGGGGAAUUUUCUCUCCACCCCUAGUGUGCAAGUGUUCCUGCCUGGAAACAGCCCUGCUCAGCUCAAGGACCAGACCACAGAUUUCAGACUUGGCUUCCAAAGAUUCUGCUCAGGAGAGGAGAUAGAGGAUAGAGACAAGUGUGGGAGAAGGAGAAACACUGCUGCUGAAAUGCGAUGGCAUUUUGACAUAAGAUAUGCGGAGAGAUUCCAGAAACUUGCUUUUAAACUUGGUUUAAAAAAAAAGAAAAAAAGCAAGCCCCAUUUCCAUUAGCCUUUUAUUUCCUGCUAAUUGUUCAGUACUCCUUCCAGUUUGGAGCAUGAAGCACCAUGGCUGGCUCAUCUCCUGCCUACCCGGCUUUGUAGGUUAUUUGGGGUGUGGUGCAGGAGGAAGGGGGAAAAGGAAUGACAGGAUGCAGUGCAGAUGAUGCUCAUUAAUUUUGGAAGAAGAUAUAAAAAGUAAGCAUUAAAGUCUAUCCUAAAUACAAGGAUUCAGCUGACUGAGAGCUCAUCUGCUUCUAUCUCUUGGCUAAUCGUGAAGGCACUUCUGCUGUGUCACUUCAAAGGCUCAGCACAGCUGGGAGGGUUUUCAUCAAAGCUUCUGCAUGUCUGGGGGAGGUUUCCCCCCCAUGAAUAUACAUCACUGGAGGCUCAUUUCCCCAGCUUUUCCCAUGCCUCUCUCUGAUUGAUCCUCAUGUCAUUCAGAUGAGUUCUUUCUCUCUGGAUGGCUAAAGGGCAAGAGACAGCUCUCUCCAAAGCUUUCCCACUUGCCUGAUGCCUCUCUGAAGCUUUUCCUCCCAUCAGAGUGGGGGAGGGAGGGAGCUGUUCAGACAAGAGAUUGAGCCUUUAAAUUAAAUUCUUGUCAUCCAAGGGCUGGGCCUGAUAGCAGCGGGGGUGGGAAGCAUUUUCUCCCAGUAUCGAGACUCUGGCCAGAUCCUCAUCUGGUGUAAAUGUGUAUCAGUGGACCGACCUAGCAGCCAUGCGAUCUGAACUCUGAGCCUUAAAACACUCCCCCUGUCUAGCAGCUGGAUGAAAUCAGCAUCAUCCCCUGUGCUCUGCAGAGUACGUGAGCUGCACAGCCAAAGAACACUUGCUGAAGUUGCUCAAUUCCACUCUUUUUCAGUGGGGAGGGAGGGCUGGGCAGCCUGGUGGAAUUUCAAACACUCAGCCACCCUCAGCCAGGCUGGGAUUUCACAAUAGCCCAGGCCCUGGGUGCACCCAGCACGUGCAAAGUGCUGGUAGAAACGCGGGCCCCUCUCCUAAGCUCAGAAGCGAGCUCAGCCCUCCUGGAAAUUCUGGGCCUGGUGCCAUGCAGUUACAGCACGUCUCCUGGCUGGUGGCCAGGCCAGGAAGCCCAAACCUCACCCCGGCUUUUCCACCCUCCGCUCUCGCGCUUCUUAUUCCCUGGGGCCAAAAUGACCCCAGGAAUCAGCAGGUCAAGACAGCGCUGGAGCAACUGGAAGCACUCCCUUAUCCCACUGAUAAAGGAACUCUAUUUGAGUGAUAUUGUGUUGUUAGUGAUGCUUUUUUAAAGAAAUAUUACACAUCUC
Molecule: non-coding RNA, 3401 nt
Organism: Meleagris gallopavo (turkey)
Lineage: Eukaryota; Metazoa; Chordata; Aves; Galliformes; Phasianidae
Source: RefSeq, a predicted model, not a curated record